Molecule: unclassified non-coding RNA, 1865 nt
Filed under: Zea mays
Lineage: Eukaryota; Viridiplantae; Streptophyta; Magnoliopsida; Poales; Poaceae
Description: misc RNA Zm00001eb098350
Source: RNAcentral
CAGGGGGUGGUGGUACUACAUAUAACAUUACCAGCCGUUCAUUAAGCUUACAACAUCAUGAACAUAAAAAAGCAUCCACAAUCCUGGCAAUGCCAGCGAGAAAUCGAAUGGACAUAACCUUAAUAAAACAGAGGUCCAUGACUUAGAGCAAGGAUCACGAUAUCGUUACCAUGAUAUAGGAGGAACAGAAUAGAACAGCCGACGAACAACCCAGACAAUUGAAGCAUGAACUCUUCAACUGGAUAGACGGUCACUUGUCAACACAAAAAUUCCAGCCCGACUCGGACGGGUUCAAUGACCAAUACAAUCUAAACAACUGAGAUUAGAAGCAACCAGACAAUCGCGUCGGCACAAAGCUGAAACACCAGAAGUUGCCUUCCCCUCAGCCAUAUCCUCGUCCCGUUUAUCAUCCAUGGGUGUUCAAUGCCUCCCAGACCAAAUUCUUCGGAGCGCCGCCGCCGCCGCCUGUGGCGCUCCUGGCCUGCAAUGCGGCAGCCCUGAGUGUCUUCCAUGUAAGCACAUUUGCGUCCCAGAAGGAGGCUGCGGAAUAGGUCAGCCCAUGCUUCUUGCAAAGGUCACGCACCGCCGGCGCAACCUUCCGAAGGUGGCACCGAGGCAGGCGGGGGAACAGAUGGUGCUCAAUCUGGAACUGCAGGCCGCCAUGGAACCAAUCCAUCCAAGGAGGGCACAGGAUGUCGAGCGUGCCUGCCGUCUGCUUCUCGAACCAGUCGUUGCCCUUGGGUGGCCCGACGUACACAUCGGACGAGAAGUGGUUCAGGCAGAAUUGGACGUGCUGGAUCCCGCAGAUGGUAAAGCUGAGAAGCACGAACGCCACCCUCUCCCACCAAUUCGGCAGGCACGCCACCAGCAACGGGUACCAAGCCCAGAACGCGGCGACACCGGCGAUCUCAAGCAGCCGCUGCGGCACCCUCUUCUCGGUCAGGACGAAGACAGCGGACUGCGCCAGAAGAUUUAUCCUGGCGAUGCACAUUACCGGGUAGAAGGUCCAGUGCUGGUAGCUGAUGAGGAAUUUCGAGGCGGCGUCGAAGGCCAGGGUCCGCUGGUAGAAGUAGGACCAUAUGUUGCCGAACAGCUUGGGGGAGACAGCGAAGAGCGGCAUGUGCUGGAGGUCCGGGUCAUGGUCCAGGCUGUUGCAGGCGAUGUGGUGCGUGUUGUGGUUGCAUUUCCACCAGGCGAUGCUGAGGCCAGUGAGGCAGUUUCCGGAGAGCACCUGCACGACGCGGUCCAGGAGCGGAUGGCCCGUGAUGCGGUGGUGGCCCGAGUCGUGGCCCAUCCAGCCGGACUGGAUCCAGACGAAGCCGAUGAGCCCCCCAGCGAGCAUGUGCGCCGAGGCGCUGGCGCAGGCGAGGACGAGGUAGAGCGCCGCGUAGAAGAGGACGGCCAUCAGGGCGAGCUGUACCCUGGGGGUGGGGCCGACGCGCUCGAAGAGGCCCGCGGAGGAGAGCUGCGCCAGGAGGCGGCGGUAGUCGGCGGACGCGGGGGAGACGGUGUAGUCGGAGAGGCGGCCGACGAAGAAGCGGCGGAGGAGCGGGCGCGCCGAGGGCGGGUGGUAGGCGGCGAAGGCGUCGGUGGCGUCCUGCCCCGCCAAGGUGAUGAGCGGGAGGUCGCCGCCCGGGUGGUGGGGAAGCCAGGGCGUCACGUCGUACACGUCGCCCGAGAUGGAGAUCCAGAGGUCGGCGGCGGACGCGUGCUCGCGGAGCUCCUUGGAGGAGAUCAAGCGCACGUCGCCGGCGCACGCGGCGUCUCCGGGGGCCGGCAUUGCGUCGGCAGAGGGCGGCAUUGCGCGGCCGUGGCCCCUAUGGGUGGUGCUGAUUUGGGAGGGUCGGAGGGGGAGGCGGGGAGAA